RNAcentral lists this ribosomal RNA (253 nucleotides) under uncultured bacterium. RNAcentral's name for it is "partial 16S ribosomal RNA". It matches the Rfam family "Bacterial small subunit ribosomal RNA", at positions 524 to 776 of the family's 1533-position model. The record is from RNAcentral.
UACAGAGGGUGCAAGCGUUAAUCGGAAUUACUGGGCGUAAAGGGCGCGUAGGUGGUUUGUUAAGUGAGAUGUGAAAUCCCUGGGCUUAACCUAGGAACUGCAUCUUAAACUGGCGAACUGGAGUACUGUAGAGGGUAGUGGAAUUUCCGGUGUAGCGGUGAAAUGCGUAGAUAUCGGAAGGAACACCAGUGGCGAAGGCGGCUACCUGGACAGAUACUGACACUGAGGCGCGAAAGCGUGGGGAGCAAACAGG